AAUAUAAUAUAAAGAAUCAUGGAUCCAAAUCUGCAUGCGACGGCUUCAAUGUUGAGAUAAAGUACAAACUGAUUAGGUCGUUGGUACGAACAAGUGAAAAUUUGGCACGAACUAUAGAAAUUUACCACUUAUUAUUUUAAUUCAUUAUAACAGAUUGUGUUUUUUUUGUACAGUAGUUAUUGUUGGUCGUUAUAUUAAAUUAUUUUAUAAAAUGUUUAUUGUAAAAAAUAUACUCAAAACACGUGUAAUCAGCUUACGAUCUUACAGUUCAAAGGUAACAUUAAAUGAUGUUGUAAUAGUUAGUGCAGUCAGAUCACCCAUAGGAUCAUUCCGUGGAAGCUUGUCAAGUUUGUCUGCACCAAAACUUGGUGCAUUAGCUAUACAAGCUGCAGUUGAACGUGCAAAAGUUUCCAAAGAGCAAGUCACAGAAGUGUAUAUGGGAAAUGUUUGUCAAGCUUCCUUGGGACAAGCACCAGCAAGACAAGCUACAUUAUUUGCAGGUCUACCUAAGUCAACCAUAUGUACAACAGUAAAUAAAGUAUGUGCAAGUGGAAUGAAAAGCAUUAUGCUUGCCUCUCAGUCCUUGCAGUGUGGACAUCAAGAGAUUAUAGUUGCUGGUGGUAUGGAAUCUAUGUCUAAUGUACCAUUUUACCUUCAACGAGGAGAAACUAAAUAUGGUGGAAUGAAACUUGAGGAUGGUAUUGUAUUUGAUGGUUUGACUGAUGUUUACAACAAAUGCCACAUGGGUAAUUGUGCAGAAAAUACUGCUAAAAAAUAUAAUGUUACUCGUAAUGAACAAGAUGAGUAUGCUAUUAAUAGCUACAAACGUAGUGCAGCAUCAUAUGAAAAUAAAAUAUUCAAAGAUGAACUUAUAUCUAUUAAUGUACCACAAAAGAAAGGCAAGGCUGAUCUAAUAAUUGAUGAAGAUGAAGAAUAUAAAAAAGUAGACUUUGCUAAGUUUGGUAAAUUAAAUACUGUUUUUCAGAAAGAAAAUGGCACAGUAACUGCAGGAAAUGCAUCAACCUUAAAUGAUGGAGCUGCUGCAUUAGUCUUAACUACUACAAAUGUUGCUGAGAAAAUGGACCUUAAACCCCUAGCGCGAAUCGUCGCAUUUGAAGAUGCUGCAACCGAUCCGAUCGAUUUCCCGAUUGCACCAUCUUUUGCUAUUCCUAAAUUACUAAAAAAGGCUGGAAUUAAUAAAAAUGAUAUAACGUUGUGGGAGAUUAACGAAGCUUUCAGUGUAGUUGUAAUUGCAAAUCAAAAACUUUUGGAUCUUGAUCCUAGUAAAGUAAACGCUCAUGGUGGUGCUGUAUCUCUUGGUCAUCCUAUCGGCAUGUCAGGAGCUCGCAUCGUCGUACACUUAAUUCAUGCUCUGAAGGCCGGGGAAAAAGGUGUCGCAUCUAUUUGUAACGGUGGCGGUGGCGCUUCUUCAAUUUUAAUUGAAAAGUUGUAAGUUUGUACCAACAGAUAUCUUUAAUACUCAAAAUUAUGGACAAAAUUAAGGUGGCACCCAAUUUCUACUCCACCGACAUUAACAUUAUACACAAAAUAUCCUUGUCCGCUUUGUGAUAUUUUAAAAGACGAAUUAGUAUUACG
This 1596-nucleotide unclassified non-coding RNA is filed under the name Megachile rotundata (alfalfa leafcutting bee). Its description in RNAcentral is "acetyl-CoA acetyltransferase, mitochondrial, transcript variant X2". Lineage: Eukaryota; Metazoa; Arthropoda; Insecta; Hymenoptera; Megachilidae. The record is from RNAcentral.